GACGUAGGGCGCGAGCGUUGUCCGGAUUUAUUGGGCGUAAAGAGCUCGUAGGCGGCUUGUCGCGUCGUCCGUGAAAACUUGGGGCUCAACCCCAAGCUUGCGGUCGAUACGGGCAGGCUCGAGUUCGGUAGGGGAGACUGGAAUUCCUGGUGUAGCGGUGAAAUGCGCAGAUAUCAGGAGGAACACCGGUGGCGAAGGCGGGUCUCUGGGCCGGUACUGACGCUGAGGCACGAAAGCGUGGGGAGCAAACAGG
Molecule: ribosomal RNA, 253 nt
Filed under: uncultured bacterium
Lineage: Bacteria
Description: partial 16S ribosomal RNA
Rfam family: Bacterial small subunit ribosomal RNA
Source: RNAcentral